This 686-nucleotide long non-coding RNA is filed under the name Helianthus annuus (common sunflower). Its description in RNAcentral is "hypothetical non coding rna". The record is from RNAcentral. Lineage: Eukaryota; Viridiplantae; Streptophyta; Magnoliopsida; Asterales; Asteraceae.
GUAUUCGAUUGAACUCAAUGUAUCCUAUAGUUGUAUUGCGAUUGGAUCAAAACGUAACGUAAAUCGAAUUUAUAUCGUACAAUCAUAACGUAUUAUACGCGACCAACUAACUCGAAUUUAUAUCGUCAAGCAAAAAACUCUCGAGGGGGGCAAAGUGGCAUUUACAAAGUUCAUAAAAAGUUAAGUGGUUAAAAAUUGCAUUCCUAAACUUAAGGGCUAAGAAAGGGUAAAGAUAAAAAUUGAAAAAGGUUUGGGGUAAGAAGGAAACUAUAACAAAGUUGGGGCUGAAAAGGAAACUACCAUAAAGUUGGGUGUCAAAAGCAAACUAUUUGUAAAAUGGAGGUGUCAAAAGCAAGUUAUUUGUAAAAUGGAGUAGUAGUUUAGGGACUAAAUUUGCCAUUUUAUGAAACUUUGAAGAUAUCAAAGUCAAGGGGCUAAAGUUGUAACAUCGUGAAAGUAUGGGAAAGGGGGAGGUAAAGCCGGUGGGGUUUCCACCGAAUUUGUGAGUCAUAGGAAUGUUUCUGAUUUACUGUAUAUCCAAACUCGAGUUUCGCUAAUAACGCCAUUUGGUAAGAAUUUUCACUGCCGUCUGUGAUCAUCCUUUAUGGAUAUCCGAAAUAAUCAAACAGAGAUGAAAGAAAAGUUAUUUGAUUACUUAAGUAUCCCUGAUUAAUCAAAAUCAGAAA